AUUUGCCUAAUACAAUUUUUUUUCUACUGUACAAUCACUUAUGAUGGAGCAAAUCAUAUGAUUUUUAUAUUUCUUUUUAGACUAUCAGUAAUUUUCACAGAAAUACUAAAAUUUCAGAACCAUUGGUAAUUAGAACCAGGACUAGAAAACAGUUUGUUUCUUUCUUCCUAAAACCUCUACUAAACAACCUCAAACUAUAUUACUAAGCUUUAAAGAAAUACAUGAAAUCAGAGAACUUAAAUAUUUUACUUGGAGAAUAACCAUCUUUUUUAGAUUUACAUGUUUUCACUGACUGCUGGAAUUUGUUUUAGUUUCUAUAUAUGACCUUAAGUUGUUAUAACUUAGAAUGUUAACUUAAAUAUGACUUAAAAUACAGGAAGAAAAAAGAGUAAUUUGGAGAAAAUAAAAAAUAAAUCUGUUCCUUCAAAAUAAUUGUGAUGUUUCUCUAUAAAAAUGAAAAAAAGUUGUUAAAUAAUAGGGAAAAAAAAAACUGCUUGACUACAGUUGUGAAAUUGUGUUUCUACUUAAAUUCUGACAAAUGAACUUAAGGAUUCAAAAGUAGGCUUUUGAUCUCCUCAGAGUACUUUUUUAAACAUUUUACCUUCAUCUCUUAAUCUACAACUGAUUACUGUUGGGACUAAGGCCAGGGGGCAUUUGAAUUUAGAUAGACUCUUCAAGGUCCAUGGCUUCACUCUUUGCAUAUCAACACAUUUGUUGAUACUCCUAAUCACUUUACCAAUUCCUUAUUAUAAAUUUCUAUUUAAUCCUUGAAAAUCCACUCUGGUAUUCUACAAAGACGGGAAAUUUAAAUCUCUGCUGUGUGUGACACACCGUUAACUCCAGCAAGACACCGUAUCUGAUAUGUUAAUAUUUACAGAUUGUUAAUGUAAUAAUGACCCAUCUGCUUCUGCUGUCAUAGGCACUUUCUGUCUAGAGGGAUAGAAAUUCACGGCAGAGUCUCUCUGAGCUGCCUGAUGUCAGAGCUGGGAAAGGUGUGAAGGGUAUACACGAGCUAGAUUACUGGUUAGCAAGUCUGGGGUAAAUGUUCCAGUGGAUGCAAGCUUGGGAUUUUUCAUGGAGCUUCUUUGCUAUCAAAGGCAUUUUCUGAUAGAGCUGACACUGAGACAUUAAAAGGUAAGGAAUUUUCUGUUUCUGGGAAAAUAUUAUUGAUUUAGCAUGAGAACAAAUUUGGGAUCAAAUAUAGGGCUUAUUUCAAAGAAAUAUUAAAGGUAUAAUGUUCUAUAGCACCCAUUUUCCAGAUUGUUUCGAAAAAGAAAUUGGGUAAAUGAAAAUUUUGAGCAAAUAUUUGAAAAUUGUUUCAAUAGUAUUGAGACUGUAUCAAUAAAAUGAUGAUCCUGAAAAUGAUGUUUUAAAAAAAAUUUUUGAAGUAGGCUCUAGUUUAAUAUUCCAUUAAUCAGAGCUAAAAUAAAUGUCCUGAUUUCAGUGCUGAAUUAUUCUUUUCAGAAAAUUUAAGAAGCAAUGAGCAUCCUAAAGCUGCCAGUGAUUCUCAUUGUGUUCUCUGUGGCAUUAAACCAUCUGGAAGCUACAUCCAUUGAAAAACAGGAAUGGCUAGUUCCGGUUUUGCCAAGAAAUAUGCUGUUGGAACUUAAAGGAGCAAAGACAGAAUCCGAAAUAAGAAAAUCCAAAAGAUGGUUCUGGCAAGAUCCAAAACUUUUGCAUCUCCUUCUGGAACUGAAAUAUAUAGAAAUAAUGAGGGGACAAAUUAAAAUGGUCAAGAAGUUAACUUUAGAAGAUCUAGUCAAAAAGCCAAUUGUCCUUAGGGGGAUUCUUUCUAAAUUGUUCUAUAUUGUCAAAAUAUAUUUCUAUAGUUUUAACUAUUCUGUUAAUGAAACAGAAUUAUCAUAAAAAGUUAAAAUAAAAAUUCCUCAUGAGUUUACUUGCAAGCUGCUCUAAACGUACAUUAAUACCUCUUGAAAAUGUUUUCAAUAGGUAGCAUGCACACCAGAAUUUCUUUUUUAAAAAACAUUUUGAAAGGUGUCAUUUCACUUGAACGGCAAUUGUAAGGAAGUCCAAAAAUUAUGUGGGGUGAAAAUAUGUUAGCAGUAAUUACAAUUUUCAAGUUGAAAGCCUUUAAAACUGUAAUUCUCCAUUUAUUUAAAAGAUUCUUAAGUCCAAAUUCAUGCACAUGUCGUAGGUAAUAUAAGGAACCUAGUUGGUUUUGACUGCAUAUAGUUUGUGCCUACUUGGUUCUGACUGCAUGGUUUUGCCGAAUUGAACUUGUACUCUCCUAAAGACCAAGAAGAAUAGGUUAACUUCUCAUAGAAUUACCAGCAUCUUAUCUGUUUUCCUUCUGGGUGUUUUUUUGUUGAGGGGUAGGUUUUUGGUGAUAUGUAAAGAUUUCCAAAGCACCGACACAUAAUUAAUAAUAAGAAUCAGGGAAAGAUUUUUCUUUUUGUUUCAGGGCUUAUCUAAUUUACAGGAUGUUCUUCUCAGAACUGACUGUAAUUUUCAGUUGGUUUUCUCCUGGAUAAAAAUAACUUUAAAACCGACAUGAAGUUUCUUGUAAGCUAGUAGAACAAUUGAAUGAUGACAGGAAAAUAAGCAAUAUUACCUAGUGUUUGUGUCUAUAUCUUGAUCUUUUCUUACAUUACAUAUACUCAUUUGCCAAGUAUCUCUACCCAGUAUCUUUUUAAGUAUGUUUGUUUAUUGUGAGGUGAACAUUACUUAGAAAUAUAACAUUGCUUAUUAACAAAUUACAUUUUCAUGCUAGUCUCACAAUCUCUUACUUUAAAUUAUUAGUAGAAAUAUUUACAGAACAUUCACCAAUUUUUUUCUCAGGAAAUUGAAUUUCUUGAAACUGAUGUGUUUGGUCUUUUUUUUUUAAAGAUAGUGGCAGAAUUCAUUUUUUUAAAAGAUUUUUAUUUUUUCUAUUAUAGUUAAUUUAUAAUGUUCCAUCAAUUUCUGCUGUAUAGCAAAGUGACCCAGUCAUACAUAUAUACAUAUAUUUUUCAUAAUGCUGUAUGAAAAAUUUCUGUACAGGACAAGAUAUGAGAGUAUAUACCAUAAGGUUUCACAUGAAUUCUUAAAAUACUUACUCUUAGCAAAGACACAGAUAAUGAAGUACUCCCCAUACAAAAUAAAUACAUUGAGAUAAAAUCUACUGCAUUUUGCCUCAAAUUACAUAUAUCCACUGGCAUCUGGACGUUGAAUGAAGCUUCAUACCUCUUGUCCACUUUAUAAUUAACCUAAAUUUAACUAAUAUUUUGGUUCCUGUAGAGCUGAAAAUGAAAACAUUUCUCUAGAGUUCCUAAUAAUCCGCAAAAGGCAAUGUUAUAAUUCUGUAUCAAUUUCCAGGGCUAUUGUGAGAGCGCACUGAAACAAAAGGUCAUACAAACAUACGGAAUUAACAUAAAUAAAUUAACGCAAAUAAAUUCUGAGAUGUUACAAUUGAAAUGAAUUAUUUAACCUGGUUAUCACUUCUGACUUAUCCAUAAUAUUUCUAUGCAGUUAUUCCGGGUGGCUGCGUAAUAUGGUGACUAUUAAUACCAUUGACAUAAAAAGCCUUUUGGUUUUAACACCUAACCCAAUCCUAUCAGUAAAACUGCUGAAAGCAUAGGAACCAAGCAGGGGUAUAAGAACAUGGUAAUCUUCAUGUAUUUAUGCUAAGAGUAAUAGAAUUCCCACCCUACAAUAGUCAGAGUACCUGAACAGGAAUUUGAUUCCCUUGAGAAUUUAUAAUAUCUGACAUUUCUCUUAACACUCUUGAUUCAAUGAUCUCCAAGAACUUAACAGAAAUUAACAUUGGUUCAUUCUUGUGUGAAAUGUGUAGGAAGUGAAUAUCUAUUUUUUUAAUUCAGCAAGUUCCAGGUUACUUAUUAGUUUACAUUCUAAAUCCUUUUUUAAAAAAAUUGGGAAAUAGAUUCACAAAUAUUUUAAAAAAUAGAAGACAAAGAUAUUUUUAAUUAUUAUUUUCUGGAAUAUAUUCUGAAUUUCCAAAGAAAGGAUUGUACUGGGAAAUUCAACAUUGACUAUAAUAAAGGGUUUGCUGUAUGAUUUCCAAGCAAACCAAAACACUGGGUUACUGAUAGGAAGAUGUUUCCUUUAGUUUUCAUCAAUAUGAGAUAUUUGGGGUCAUAUAGAUAGUUGUAUCCAAUCCUGAGUCUAAGUUUCUAACCUUUCAUAUUUCUUCGAUGUUCCCAGUCAUCAGAUGGAAAAACAGAAAUGCAACAUGGCCACUUGUGCGACUCAACACCUGGCAAAUUUUUUAGAUCGUUCCAGGAACAACCUUGGCACCAUUUUCUCACCUACCAAGGUGGGAUCCAACACAUAUGGCAAGAGGGAUACAGUUGAGAUUUUAAUGAAAGAACCAUUGAAUUACUUACCCCUUUAGAGGUCAACGCACCUCUAAAGUUCUUAUUGCUUUAUGUAUAAAUACCCUAGUGAUUUCCUGUAUAAUUUAACAGUACCUUUUUCAUUUCUAAAGUGAAUAUGUGAAUCUGUGUGUCCCAUGUUUGCUGCCAGUACAUGUAAACUGUUGUGCUGAGAAUUGUUUUAAAUUUAAUACUAAUCAAGAUCCCUUAAUAAAAAGGCAAAGUCUUUACAAAUGAAA
Sus scrofa (pig) is the source of this 4570-nucleotide non-coding RNA. The record is from RefSeq and is a predicted model, not a curated record. NCBI's taxonomy places the organism in Eukaryota, Metazoa, Chordata, Mammalia, Artiodactyla, Suidae.